This 74-nucleotide transfer RNA is filed under the name Nocardiopsis sp. CNR-923. It matches the Rfam family "tRNA". From Rfam's summary of the family: Transfer RNA (tRNA) molecules are approximately 80 nucleotides in length. Their secondary structure includes four short double-helical elements and three loops (D, anti-codon, and T loops). Further hydrogen bonds mediate the characteristic L-shaped molecular structure. tRNAs have two regions of fundamental functional importance: the anti-codon, which is responsible for specific mRNA codon recognition, and the 3' end, to which the tRNAs corresponding amino acid is attached (by aminoacyl-tRNA synthetases). tRNAs cope with the degeneracy of the genetic code in two manners: having more than one tRNA (with a specific anti-codon) for a particular amino acid; and 'wobble' base-pairing, i.e. permitting non-standard base-pairing at the 3rd anti-codon position. RNAcentral also lists the same sequence under 1 other name. Lineage: Bacteria; Bacillati; Actinomycetota; Actinomycetes; Streptosporangiales; Nocardiopsidaceae. The record is from Rfam by way of RNAcentral.
GCCCUGGUAGCCCAAUCGGCAGAGGCGGCAGAUUCAAGUCCUGCUCAGUGUGGGUUCGAAUCCCACCCAGGGUA